GGGGGCUGCACGUCACGGCUACUCAAAACCAAGCACGUCCCGAAAGCAGUAUUUUCUGCGUCUGGGAGGUUUUUGCAUCCUCAGUUCCCACCGCUGGGGCUGGCGGCGACCAACUCGCGGACCUGCCGCAGCCCGGGAGCUGUCAUUUCAUCAGCGGGAUCCCGAUGAAUUGACCCAGUCCUCCGCGAAGGGGGCACAUCUCAGCUCCCGAAACGCUGCGUGUCCCUCUCCGGCUGGAACAAUACUAGUUUUUCUCAGCGAGGCUGCAAUUAACAUCUUAUUUGUUCUGGGCUAGAUACAGGCUUUGUCCGGACCGCGGUGCGGCGACCGAGCCCCCUGGACGGUUGGCUGACAAGUAUUUGAUGAACUGGCUUCAGAUACAAUGCUGCCAAAGGUCAUUCGCCUCCUGAUUAUGUCUCUACUUGUAAACGCAGUUGGUGGUUUGCAAAACAAGUGGCAAAAUAGUGUGGUGAUGUGGUGGGGGAGACCACAGUGGGUAAUUCAUUUCGUGUCGGAGUCUUCCUAAGGGUGAGUGGCUUGAGGGGCAGGUGAAGUGGAAUAAAACAAAUUUCCAUCAUUUUCUCCCCGUACA
Molecule: long non-coding RNA, 592 nt
Filed under: Vulpes vulpes (red fox)
Lineage: Eukaryota; Metazoa; Chordata; Mammalia; Carnivora; Canidae
Description: lncRNA (ENSVVUG00000008950.1)
Source: RNAcentral